Molecule: ribosomal RNA, 2921 nt
Filed under: Priestia aryabhattai
Lineage: Bacteria; Bacillati; Bacillota; Bacilli; Caryophanales; Bacillaceae
Description: bacterial LSU rRNA
Rfam family: Bacterial large subunit ribosomal RNA
Source: RNAcentral
AGGGCGCACGGUGAAUGCCUUGGCACUAGGAGCCGAUGAAGGACGGGACUAACACCGAUAUGCUUCGGGGAGCUGUAAGUGAGCUUUGAUCCGGAGAUUUCCGAAUGGGGAAACCCACUGUUCGUAAUGGAACAGUAUCUUUAUCUGAAUACAUAGGAUAUUGAAGGCAGACCCGGGGAACUGAAACAUCUAAGUACCCGGAGGAAGAGAAAGCAAAUGCGAUUUCCUGAGUAGCGGCGAGCGAAACGGAAUUAGCCCAAACCAAGAGGCUUGCCUCUUGGGGUUGUAGGACACUCUAUACGGAGUUACAAAGGAACGAAGUAAAUGAAGCGACCUGGAAAGGUCCGUCGAAGAAGGUAACAACCCUGUAGUUGAAACUUCGUUCCCUCUUGAGUGGAUCCUGAGUACGGCGGAACACGUGAAAUUCCGUCGGAAGCUGGGAGGACCAUCUCCCAAGGCUAAAUACUACCUAGUGACCGAUAGUGAACCAGUACCGUGAGGGAAAGGUGAAAAGCACCCCGGAAGGGGAGUGAAAGAGAUCCUGAAACCGUGUGCCUACAAGUAGUCAGAGCCCGUUAAUGGGUGAUGGCGUGCCUUUUGUAGAAUGAACCGGCGAGUUACGAUCCCAUGCAAGGUUAAGCUGAUAAGGCGGAGCCGUAGCGAAAGCGAGUCUGAAUAGGGCGUUUAGUAUGUGGUUGUAGACCCGAAACCAGGUGAUCUACCCAUGUCCAGGGUGAAGUUCAGGUAACACUGAAUGGAGGCCCGAACCCACGCACGUUGAAAAGUGCGGGGAUGAGGUGUGGGUAGCGGAGAAAUUCCAAUCGAACCUGGAGAUAGCUGGUUCUCUCCGAAAUAGCUUUAGGGCUAGCCUCAUGUUGUGAGAGUCUUGGAGGUAGAGCACUGAUUGGACUAGGGGCCCCCAACGGGUUACCGAAUUCAGUCAAACUCCGAAUGCCAAAGACUUAUCCAUGGGAGUCAGACUGCGAGUGAUAAGAUCCGUAGUCAAAAGGGAAACAGCCCAGACCACCAGCUAAGGUCCCCAAGUAUACGUUAAGUGGAAAAGGAUGUGGAGUUGCUUAGACAACCAGGAUGUUGGCUUAGAAGCAGCCACCAUUUAAAGAGUGCGUAAUAGCUCACUGGUCGAGUGACUCUGCGCCGAAAAUGUACCGGGGCUAAACGUAUCACCGAAGCUGUGGAUUGACAUCUUUGAUGUCAGUGGUAGGAGAGCGUUCUAAGUGCAGCGAAGUCAGACCGUAAGGACUGGUGGAGCGCUUAGAAGUGAGAAUGCCGGUAUGAGUAGCGAAAGACAAGUGAGAAUCUUGUCCACCGAAUGCCUAAGGUUUCCUGAGGAAGGCUCGUCCGCUCAGGGUUAGUCGGGACCUAAGCCGAGGCUGAAAAGCGUAGGCGAUGGCCAACAGGUUGAUAUUCCUGUACCACCUCCCCGCCGUUUGAGUAAUGGGGGGACGCAGUAGGAUAGGGUAAGCGCGCUGCUGGAUAUGCGCGUUCAAGCAGUUAGGCUGAUGAGUAGGCAAAUCCGCUCAUCAUAAAGGCUGAGCUGUGAUGACGAGGGAAUUAUAGUACCGAAGUUCCUGAUUCCACACUGCCAAGAAAAGCCUCUAGCGAGGCGGGAGGUGCCCGUACCGCAAACCGACACAGGUAGGCGAGGAGAGAAUCCUAAGGUGAUCGAGAGAACUCUCGUUAAGGAACUCGGCAAAAUGACCCCGUAACUUCGGGAGAAGGGGUGCUCUGGUAGGGUGUAUAGCCCGAGAGAGCCGCAGUGAAUAGGCCCAGGCGACUGUUUAGCAAAAACACAGGUCUCUGCGAAGCCGCAAGGCGAAGUAUAGGGGCUGACGCCUGCCCGGUGCUGGAAGGUUAAGAGGAGGGGUUAUCCUUUGGGAGAAGCUCUGAAUCGAAGCCCCAGUAAACGGCGGCCGUAACUAUAACGGUCCUAAGGUAGCGAAAUUCCUUGUCGGGUAAGUUCCGACCCGCACGAAAGGCGUAACGAUCUGGGCACUGUCUCAACGAGAGACUCGGUGAAAUUAUAGUACCUGUGAAGAUGCAGGUUACCCGCGACAGGACGGAAAGACCCCGUGGAGCUUUACUGUAGCCUGAUAUUGAAUUUUGGUACAGCUUGUACAGGAUAGGUAGGAGCCUGAGAAGCCGGAGCGCUAGCUUCGGUGGAGGCGUCGGUGGGAUACUACCCUGGCUGUAUUGAAAUUCUAACCCGCGGCCCUGAUCGGGCCGGGAGACAGUGUCAGGUGGGCAGUUUGACUGGGGCGGUCGCCUCCUAAAAUGUAACGGAGGCGCCCAAAGGUUCCCUCAGAAUGGUUGGAAAUCAUUCGUAGAGUGUAAAGGCACAAGGGAGCUUGACUGCGAGACCUACAAGUCGAGCAGGGACGAAAGUCGGGCUUAGUGAUCCGGUGGUUCCGCAUGGAAGGGCCAUCGCUCAACGGAUAAAAGCUACCCCGGGGAUAACAGGCUUAUCUCCCCCAAGAGUCCACAUCGACGGGGAGGUUUGGCACCUCGAUGUCGGCUCAUCGCAUCCUGGGGCUGUAGUCGGUCCCAAGGGUUGGGCUGUUCGCCCAUUAAAGCGGUACGCGAGCUGGGUUCAGAACGUCGUGAGACAGUUCGGUCCCUAUCCGUCGUGGGCGUAGGAAAUUUGAGAGGAGCUGUCCUUAGUACGAGAGGACCGGGAUGGACACACCGCUGGUGUACCAGUUGUCUUGCCAAAGGCAUCGCUGGGUAGCUAUGUGUGGACGGGAUAAGUGCUGAAAGCAUCUAAGCAUGAAGCCCCCCUCAAGAUGAGAUUUCCCAUAGCGCAAGCUAGUAAGAUCCCUGAAAGAUGAUCAGGUUGAUAGGUCAGAGGUGGAAGCGUGGCGACAUGUGUAGCUGACUGAUACUAAUCGAUCGAGGACUUAACC